AUGUGAGCGCGCGUCGCUUCGUCAGUCGGCAAACCGCCCGGGCGGGCGCCACACGACCGGAAUCUGCGCGAGCGACGAGCGGUGCCAACGAAUAUAAAUUUCAGUGAAAUAAAACACGCAUCCGCGUACCGCUGUAACGUAAAAUGCGAGCGCAAGAUUCUGUGAAUCAAAUACGAGAAAAGUGAACGAGCCUCGAGUGCAGAGUACGACGCCACACGUCGCAC
Molecule: long non-coding RNA, 224 nt
Organism: Bombyx mandarina (wild silkworm)
Lineage: Eukaryota; Metazoa; Arthropoda; Insecta; Lepidoptera; Bombycidae
Source: RefSeq, a predicted model, not a curated record